CAUAAAGUAAAACAGCAGACACUUACUUUGAAGUGCAUGUUUUUUUUCCCUUAUUGGAAUCUCUCUCUUUCCCUUCACAAAGAAACAUGUAUCCACAGCUGAACAUGACAUGGUUAUGCUGUUAUGAACAGCAUGUAGAACACAUAAAGUAAAACAGCAGACACUUUGUGUGUACAUUGAAGUUUGUUUUUAUAUUUUGCUAUUGGACAGUUUGCCAAAGGCUGUGUCGCCCUCAUUAUUUGUCUAACAGAAAGUGUAUAAUAUUAUUCUUAUGAUUAACUAAGUGUUGUGGCACCAGAUAAGCCAAAACUAAAUGGCACACCUGAACUGAAUGGUUGACAGUUUUGUUCUUCUUACUCUACAAAAGUCUUCUCUGAUUUCACUUGUGCCAGAUUUAGUGGGAAAAACAAACAACAUUUAACUGUGAGGCGCAAUAUUAUCAUAGAAGUUAGGGUUGUUAUUUUUUUAAAAUGGGCUAUUAUUGUGUAAUGUAGCUUCCAGGACAAAUGAAACACUAAAUGUUUAUGUCCAAUGUAUGGGUUUAUUUUAAAAUUGUUUUGCUGACACAAGUGAACAAAGUUCAGAAUCUCACUGGCAAGAGGCGGAUGAAUACAAUGUCAAUGAGCUUGUAGCCUCGAUGCAAAGUGGUAUAUUCCGUAUAUUCUGAUUGAAUUCACAUGUUAAAGGAAAAGUUUCAGUUAAAAACCAAUCUCAGUUGAAUGUAAAUGAUGCCCUAAACAGAAAGAUGCUAGUCUGGAAGCAUGAUACACUACUUCCUCAGUUAACCAAAACAAUGUUAUCAUAACAUUUUUGUGUUAUCUUUUUAAUUCUAUUAUUAUCUUUUUAAUUCUAUAGCAACAGAUCAAAAUGUUAAUGGUUAACUCAUUGGAUAUUUCCUUUUUUUUUUCUUUCAGUUUUUAUGUUCUAAUUACUUUUUUUUUCUUAGAGUUUUAUUUGACAGCUCUAUGUGUCCACUCAGAUGAAAUAAAACUCCAUUUGGCUGUU
Non-coding RNA from Biomphalaria pfeifferi, 1005 nucleotides. The record is from the annotation of a GenBank genome assembly. Lineage: Eukaryota; Metazoa; Mollusca; Gastropoda; Planorbidae.